Molecule: ribosomal RNA, 301 nt
Filed under: uncultured bacterium
Lineage: Bacteria
Description: partial 16S ribosomal RNA
Rfam family: Bacterial small subunit ribosomal RNA
Source: RNAcentral
CAGUAGCCGCGGUAAUACGGAGGGUGCGAGCGUUAAUCGGAAUAACUGGGCGUAAAGGGCACGCAGGCGGUGACUUAAGUGAGGUGUGAAAGCCCCGGGCUUAACCUGGGAAUUGCAUUUCAUACUGGGUCGCUAGAGUACUUUAGGGAGGGGUAGAAUUCCACGUGUAGCGGUGAAAUGCGUAGAGAUGUGGAGGAAUACCGAAGGCGAAGGCAGCCCCUUGGGAAUGUACUGACGCUCAUGUGCGAAAGCGUGGGGAGCAAACAGGAUUAGAUACCCCCGUAGUCCCUGUCUCUUAUAC